GGUGGCGACCGGCGCACGGGUGCGUAACGCGUAUGUAACCUACCUAUAACAGGGGCAUAACACUGAGAAAUUGGUACUAAUUCCCCAAAAUAUUCGGAGAGGCAUCUCUCCGGGUUGAAAACUCCGGUGGUUAUAGAUGGACAUGCGUUGUAUUAGCUAGUUGGUGAGGUAACGGCUCACCAAGGCAACGAUACAUAGGGGGACUGAGAGGUUAACCCCCCACACUGGUACUGAGACACGGACCAGACUCCUACGGGAGGCAGCAUG
This 267-nucleotide ribosomal RNA is filed under the name uncultured bacterium. Its description in RNAcentral is "partial 16S ribosomal RNA". It matches the Rfam family "Bacterial small subunit ribosomal RNA", at positions 87 to 353 of the family's 1533-position model. The record is from RNAcentral.